CCUACGGGAGGCAGCAGUGAGGAAUAUUGGUCAAUGGGCGCGAGCCUGAACCAGCCAAGUCGCGUGAGGGAGGACGGCCCUACGGGUUGUAAACCUCUUUUGCCGGGGAGCAACGGGCGCCACGUGUGGCGUCACUGAGAGUACCCGGAGAAAAAGCAUCGGUUAACUCCGUGCCAGCAGCGGCGGUAAUACGGAGGAUGCGAGCGUUAUCCGGGUUUUUUGGGUUUAAAGGGUGCGUAGGCGGAUCGUUAAGUCAGUGGUCAAAUUGGGGGGCCAAACCCGUUCCCGCCAUUGAAACUGGCGUUCUUGAGUGGAAGAGAGGUAUGCGGAAUGCGUGGUGUAGCGGUGAAAUGCAUAGAUAUCACGCAGAACCCCGAUUGCGAAGGCAGCAUGCCGGCUUCCGACUGACGCUGAAGCACGAAAGCGUGGGGAUCGAACAGGAUUAGAUACCCUGGUAGUC
RNAcentral lists this ribosomal RNA (460 nucleotides) under uncultured bacterium. RNAcentral describes it as "partial 16S ribosomal RNA". It matches the Rfam family "Bacterial small subunit ribosomal RNA", at positions 338 to 795 of the family's 1533-position model. The record is from RNAcentral.